Molecule: unclassified non-coding RNA, 241 nt
Filed under: plant metagenome
Description: partial contains small subunit ribosomal RNA, internal transcribed spacer 1, and 5.8S ribosomal RNA
Source: RNAcentral
UUUCCGUAGGUGAACCUGCGGAAGGAUCAUUAUUGAAUGAUACACUUCUGGCUUUAUGCUGUUGUGCUGGCCCUUUGUGCAAUGUGCACACGGCUCUGGUCACUUGUUUCUUCUGUUCCACCUGUGCACUGCCUGUAGACACGCUGUGUCUAUGAUAUUUGUUAACACACAACAAUGUUAGUUGGCAUGUUAUAUAUAAUAAUAAAAUAUACAACUUUCAACAACGGAUCUCUUGGCUCUC